AGUUAGAAAAAGCCCGGGCUAGAGGGCCCGAAGCACCGGGUGUGGGAGGGGGGUGGGGGGUGGGGGUGGGGGGUAUCGGGGAAACUGGGGAAGAUGGGAGAGCUGGAGGAGAGUCGUGGGGUCCGAGGAGCACCUCGGCAUCUGGAGUCUGGCAGGAAUGUUGAAGGACUGAGGGGCUAGCUCAGGCAGAGCAAAGGCAUCGCAAAGGCUGGAAAACAUCGGAGUGAAGCUGAAGGGCCUGAGCUAGGGUUGGAGAGGAAUGGGGAGCCAGACAUUCAUCCCGGUUACUUUUGGUUACAGGACGUGGCGGCUGGUCGGAUAAAGGGGAGCUGCUGGGAAGGGUUCGACCCCAGACCUGGGCAGUGAAGGUAUAGCUGGCAGCAGUGGGCAGGUGAGGACCGCCGUCUGCUGGGCAGGUGAGUCUCCUUCUUCUCUCUUGGCCUCGCUCCACUGACCUUCUAAACGAAGGUUUAGAGAGGGGGCCUGGUGAGAAGAAGCGGCUGGCCUCGCAGCAGAAUGGCACAUAGAAAGGCAGGAUAGUUAGCAAAGGAGACAUCGUCUCGGGGGGAGCCGAGACAGAAGGAGGCUGGGGGACCAUUGGCGACCCCAGGUGGAAAGAGCUCUUAGAGAGAAGAAAGAAGAGGUGCAGGGUUGCCAGUAAAGACUGAGGCCGCUGCCUCCAGGGAGGUGAUAGGAGUCCUUGGAGACAGUGGCAGAGACCAUGGGAUCCAGCAAGAACAGAAGCAUUCUAGGCUGGGGUCAAACAGGGCAAGAUGGGGUCACAAGACACAGAUGGGUCCCCAGCCGCCACAACAUCCCACCCACCGUAAUUCACUUAGAAGAAGGUUCAAGAGUGGCUCUGGCAAAGUCCCAAGUUUGCCAGAGCCUCAAUAACUGGAGAAUGGAAAAGAAGGGCAGUGCAGGGUGUCACCAGAAGGGGAGUGGGGGCUGCAGGUAUCGGACUCCAGAGGGAUUUUACAGCAAGGAGGCUGCAGUGGGUCCAGCCUGCAGACACACCAUUCCCAUGAGGCACUGCGGCCCAGGGACUGGUGCGGAAAGGGCCCACAGUGGACUUGGUACACUGUAUGCCCUAACCGCUCAGUCCCUGGGUCUGGCAUGACAGACAGAACAUUUCCAGGGGAGUCAAGGGCACAGGAUGAAGCCAGACGAGGCGAGGCAGGCGGGGCAGAAUGAAUGAGUUUCUAGGGAGGGAGGUUGGGUGCAGGUAGAGCGAGUAGCUGGGGUGGUGAGCCAGGGAGGCACUGGCCUCCAGAGUCCGUGGCCAAGGAGGGCCUUGCGGGCGGCGACGGAGCAGUGAUCGGUGUCUCGAAGAGCUCGGACUGGAGACUAGGCCAGGUCUCCAGCAGAGGUGGAUGUGCCUGCCAGUCACUGAAGGCGAGGAUGACAGGUGUGGUCAAUGUGACAGAAAGACAUGACAUGGUCCGGUGUGAUGGAGAGGACAGAAGGGCAGUCAUCCAGCCUUCUUGAACACCAUGGGCUGGCGCCUUGUCGUAGAAGCCGUCUGUUCUUUCACUUUUCCCAAAGAGCUAACACUUCUCUGCUGCUCUCUGGAUCCUCCUCCCCCUACCUUGAACCCUCAAGAUGAAAGAAAUGGUGCUACCCAGCUCAUGUCUGGGCCUUUGAAUCCGGGGACUUCUUUAAGUCCGUCUCGUUCUGAAUCAAGAAGAUGCUGCAAUCAGAACCACUACACUACCUGCCUCAGGAAUCUGCUCCAAGGUGAAGCUGAAAGAACAGAUGGUGUCAACAUUUUGAAAGAGCAGACUCAUAGCACCCACCCACCCCUGAGAAUCCAUCUUCAUGGCCAACUCUGCCUGACCCGGGAGACCACCACCCACAUCAUCCUGGAGCCAAGCCUCUACCCCGGGAUGACUUCAUCAUCUCCCUCCUGUCUUUUUCUUCUUCCUCCUUUCCUGUAAUUCUGUUUCUUUCCUUUUGUUCCUUCCUUGCUUGAGAGACUCAAAGCACCCGUGACUCUGUUUCCCCAUUUACCCCCUUUUGAAUUUGCACUAAGUCGAUUGCACUGGUUUGGAGUCCCGGAGAUAGCUUUGAGUCUCUCCGUAUGAAUGUAUACAGCGAGUGUGUAAACCUCUUUGGCAAUGCUGCCCCAGUACCCACCUGUCGUCCAUCUCCGUCUGAGGGCAACUGGGUGUGGCCGUGUGCUUGAGGCCUCGCCUUCCCCUCGCCUAGUCUGGAAGCAGUUCCAUCAUAAAGUGUUCAACAUGCCCUACUUCAUCCUUUGCCCCUCCUCACCAGGGCCUCACCAGAGGUCCUGGGUCCAUCAAUAAAUACAGUUACAGUCAUUGGUC
This 2327-nucleotide long non-coding RNA is filed under the name Mus musculus (house mouse). RNAcentral's name for it is "H19, imprinted maternally expressed transcript". The stretch from base 1039 to 1110 matches the Rfam family "mir-675 microRNA precursor family". Lineage: Eukaryota; Metazoa; Chordata; Mammalia; Rodentia; Muridae. The record is from RNAcentral.